UACAGAGACUGCAAGCGUUACUCGGAUUCACUGGGCGUAAAGGGAGCGCAGGCGGACCGGUGUGUCAGAUGUGAAACCCCAGGCUCAACCCUGGGACUGCGUCUGAAACUGCCGGUCUAGGGACUCGGAGGGCUAGUGGAAUUCCUGGUGGAGCAGUGAAAUGCGUAGAUAUCAGGAGGAACACCAACGGCGAAGGCAGCUAGCUGGACGAGAUCCGACGCUCAGGCUCGAAAGCGCGGGGAGCGAACAGG
This 251-nucleotide ribosomal RNA is filed under the name uncultured bacterium. RNAcentral's name for it is "partial 16S ribosomal RNA". It matches the Rfam family "Bacterial small subunit ribosomal RNA", at positions 524 to 776 of the family's 1533-position model. The record is from RNAcentral.